GGCGGGAUAGCUCAGUUGGUAGAGCACAUGACUGAAAAUCAUGGUGUCCCCGGUUCAAGUCCGGGUCCCGCCA
RNAcentral lists this transfer RNA (73 nucleotides) under Actinobacteria bacterium RBG_16_64_13. Its description in RNAcentral is "tRNA-Phe". It matches the Rfam family "tRNA". Rfam says of the family: Transfer RNA (tRNA) molecules are approximately 80 nucleotides in length. Their secondary structure includes four short double-helical elements and three loops (D, anti-codon, and T loops). RNAcentral also lists the same sequence under 4 other names. The record is from RNAcentral. Lineage: Bacteria; Bacillati; Actinomycetota.